CAGAUCCAGAAGAUCCCGACUCCAACAAAAGUCAUCAGAGAUCCAGCAGCAGCAGAUAUCAAAACUAUCUGAGAACCUGACACCGGAGGACCAGAAGAAAUAGAAGUGAAUGUGUUGGUCGGAUCUAUAUCACAGGACAGCUGUAGGUGUUGUUAUCUUGAUAUUCCACCUCCAGAGGUAGAGAGAGACUGAUGCUGAGAUCAGACACACUGAUGCUGGACAAUACACUGUUUCCUUUGUACCAGGAGAGACUCACAGCGCUCACAUUCACCACUGAACACAACACUGAAUAAUUAUACUGGGAUGAUGAACACAGAGAAGAGUUGAAGAUGAGGGCAGGAACAAGCAGACGUGCUGGAAAACAUGAGAAUAGAGAUUUUCAGUACAGAGUUUGAGUGUAAAUUGUUGAAGAAUUUGUGAAGGAUUAAAGAACUUUACUCGCCAUGAACAGAAACAUU
Non-coding RNA from Danio rerio (zebrafish), 458 nucleotides. The record is from Ensembl. Lineage: Eukaryota; Metazoa; Chordata; Actinopteri; Cypriniformes; Danionidae.